Molecule: ribosomal RNA, 402 nt
Filed under: uncultured bacterium
Lineage: Bacteria
Description: bacterial SSU rRNA
Rfam family: Bacterial small subunit ribosomal RNA
Source: RNAcentral
GAGUAACGCGUGAGCAACCUGUCCCUUACAGGGGGAUAACACAGCGAAAGUUGUACUAAUACCGCAUAAGACCACGGAUUCACAUGGAUCAGGGGUCAAAAGGAGCAAUCCGGUAAGGGGUGGGCUCGCGUCCGAUUAGAUAGUUGGUGAGGUAACGGCCCACCAAGUCGACGAUCGGUAGCCGACCUGAGAGGGUGAUCGGCCACAUUGGGACUGAGACACGGCCCAAACUCCUACGGGAGGCAGCAGUGGGGAAUAUUGGGCAAGUGGGGGGAACCCUGAACCCCAGCAACGCCGCGUGAGGGAAGUAAGGUUUUCGGAUCGUAAACCUCUGUCCUAUGUGAAGAGGAAGAGACGGUAGCAUAGGAGGAACGCCCCGGCUAACUACGUGCCAGCAGCCGC